RNAcentral lists this ribosomal RNA (253 nucleotides) under uncultured bacterium. RNAcentral describes it as "partial 16S ribosomal RNA". It matches the Rfam family "Bacterial small subunit ribosomal RNA", at positions 524 to 776 of the family's 1533-position model. The record is from RNAcentral.
UACGUAGGGUGCAAGCGUUAAUCGGAAUUACUGGGCGUAAAGCGUGCGCAGGCGGCUUUGCAAGACAGAUGUGAAAUCCCCGGGCUCAACCUGGGAACUGCACUUGUGACUGCAAGGCUAGAGUACGGCAGAGGGGGAUGGAAUUCCGCGUGUAGCAGUGAAAUGCGUAGAUAUGCGGAGGAACACCAAUGGCGAAGGCAAUCCCCUGGGCCCGUACUGACGCUCAUGCACGAAAGCGUGGGGAGCAAACAGG